AUACGUAGGGGGCGAGCGUUGUCCGGAUUUACUGGGCGUAAAGGGUACGCAGGCGGCCAUGUAAGUCAGAUGUGAAAGGCUACGGCUUAACCGUAGCAAGCAUUUGAAACUGUGUGGCUUGAGUUAAGGAGAGGAAAGUGGAAUUCCUGGUGUAGCGGGGAAAUGCGUAGAUAUCAGGAGGAAUACCAGUGGCGAAGGCGACUUUCUGGACUUAUACUGACGCUGAGGUACGAAAGCGCGGGGAGCAAACAGGAUUAGAUACCCUGGUAGUCCGCGCCGUAAACGAUGAGUGCUAGGUGUCGGGGGUCAAACCUCGGUGCCGCAGUUAACACAUUAAGCACUCCGCCUGGGGAGUACGUUCGCAAGAAUGAAACUCAAAGGAAUUGACGGGG
RNAcentral lists this ribosomal RNA (392 nucleotides) under uncultured bacterium. RNAcentral's name for it is "partial 16S ribosomal RNA". It matches the Rfam family "Bacterial small subunit ribosomal RNA", at positions 523 to 918 of the family's 1533-position model. The record is from RNAcentral.